CCACAGCACUGACUAACACAGCCGAGCUCCGCUUCAAGAUAGGAAAAAUGAGAAGAGAGUUACCAGCCUAGCCCGCUGCAGGAGAGGAUUGGCUCCAGCACAUGGAGGUCACUGUCUGACUUCCUGUGUCGCCCAGCACCCAGCAUCCCUUCACUGACCUCCUGCGUCAGCCUGGCCCUUCACAGGGGCUGGCGCUGCCCUUCCGUGAGCGAGCGCAGGUGCCCCACGCUCACUCUCACUCGGCGGCAGUGGAGUCCCUGAGCCGGAGCUGCAGGCGGUUGUGAACCGUGCAUACGGUGCUAGGAAUUGAACUCGGGCCCUCUCUAAGAGCAGUACUCCCCGGGUCUGCACUGCUAAGCCACUUCUCCAGCUUCUGGGAUGAGUUAUUCUAGAGUGGCACUCUGCCCCUCCCCUUAGCAAUCAGACAAUCUGCCCCAAGGAACGGGGAUUCCCCCCCCCCCAGACUGGGAGAAAGAAGAGACUGAAGCUGGGAGGCUACUCAAGAGGGGGAGCAUGUCUCCCAGAAAGAGGCUUCACACAGUCCUGACAGCUUGUCAGAUCACCUUAUGGGAGAGACUGAAGCGGAGACAAUGAUGGGUCCGUGAUGGGCAGGGCCACACCGGAACGGGGACCAUUUGGGUGCACCUUCUUCUUGGCCUUUGUUUAAACUUAAACUUCAUGUCAGGGAACUUCAUAACAUGAGGGAGGGGAGGCCGCUGGGCCCCUUCAUUUGUUCUUCUUUUGAAUAAAUCUCCUUUUCCUGCU
Meriones unguiculatus (Mongolian gerbil) is the source of this 765-nucleotide long non-coding RNA. RefSeq lists it as uncharacterized. The record is from RefSeq and is a predicted model, not a curated record. Lineage: Eukaryota; Metazoa; Chordata; Mammalia; Rodentia; Muridae. The transcript is spliced from 3 exons.